AGAGACAGCAGCAGCCACGGUAAAACAGAGGGUGCGAGCGUUAAUCGGAUUUACUGGGCGUAAAGCGUGCGUAGGCGGCUUUUUAAGUCGGAUGUGAAAUCCCUGAGCUUAACUUAGGAAUUGCAUUCGAUACUGGGAAGCUAGAGUAUGGGAGAGGAUGGUAGAAUUCCAGGUGUAGCGGUGAAAUGCGUAGAGAUCUGGAGGAAUACCGAUGGCGAAGGCAGCCAUCUGGCCUAAUACUGACGCUGAGGUACGAAAGCAUGGGGAGCAAACAGGAUUAGAUACCCCGUAGUCCCUGUCUCUUAUACA
Molecule: ribosomal RNA, 309 nt
Filed under: uncultured bacterium
Lineage: Bacteria
Description: partial 16S ribosomal RNA
Rfam family: Bacterial small subunit ribosomal RNA
Source: RNAcentral